This 423-nucleotide ribosomal RNA is filed under the name uncultured Hyphomicrobiales bacterium. Its description in RNAcentral is "bacterial SSU rRNA". It matches the Rfam family "Bacterial small subunit ribosomal RNA", at positions 355 to 775 of the family's 1533-position model. Lineage: Bacteria; Pseudomonadati; Pseudomonadota; Alphaproteobacteria; Hyphomicrobiales. The record is from RNAcentral.
GGAUGAGUAUUGCGCAAUGGGCGAAAGCCUGACGCAGCGACGCCGCGUGGGGAUGAAGGUCUUCGGAUUGUAAACCCUUCGGUUGGGAGAGCAGGCCUAGACCAACUAAGGCGGGAGCGGUACCGCCAGAAGCAGCCACGGCUAACUUCGUGCCAGCAGCCGCGGUAAUACGAAGGGGCGUAGCGUUGCUCGGAAUCACUGGGCGUAAAGCGCACGUAGGCGGACUCUUAAGUCGGUGGUGAAAUCCUGGAGCUCAACUCCAGAACUGCCUUCGAUACUGAGAGUCUCGAGUCCGAGAGAGGUGAGUGGAACUGCGAGUGUAGAGGUGAAAUUUCGUUAGAUAUUCGCAAGAACACCAGUGGCGAAGGCGGCUCACUGGCUCGGUACUGACGCUGAGGUGCGAAAAGCGUGGGGAGCAAAACA